GUUUUUCUUUGUUUUUUAAUUGUAUUUUAUUUUGGUGGGGAAGCUUUUAUUUUCUUACUUCCUGUUUUUGCGUUAUAUCCUGUGUGUUCCCGCUGCCCUCCUCAGUUCGCGCCAAGCUGCGCUGGGGAGAGGGUGUUUGUGGAGAAUCCGGAGCCCAGGAGCUGCUGUUUAAAAUGUUCUUGUUUUGAACAGGAAUAAAAUUAUCCUGAAUCCUGAUUCCGGUGUGAUUGACU
Long non-coding RNA from Poecilia latipinna (sailfin molly), 233 nucleotides. RefSeq lists it as uncharacterized. NCBI's taxonomy places the organism in Eukaryota, Metazoa, Chordata, Actinopteri, Cyprinodontiformes, Poeciliidae. The transcript has 3 exons. The record is from RefSeq and is a predicted model, not a curated record.